GCGACGUUGGUGUAAUGGUUAGCAUCUACGCUUCCCAUGCAUAUUGGCUUGCGUAGGAUUCGAGUUCGAUUCUUGAACGUCGCA
Molecule: non-coding RNA, 84 nt
Organism: Chaetomium strumarium
Lineage: Eukaryota; Fungi; Ascomycota; Sordariomycetes; Sordariales; Chaetomiaceae
Source: the annotation of a RefSeq genome assembly